RNAcentral lists this ribosomal RNA (410 nucleotides) under Amblyomma maculatum (Gulf Coast tick). RNAcentral's name for it is "partial 16S ribosomal RNA". Lineage: Eukaryota; Metazoa; Arthropoda; Arachnida; Ixodida; Ixodidae. The record is from RNAcentral.
AGUAUUUUGACUAUACAAAGGUAUUGAAAUAAGACUUUAAUUGAGUGCUAAGAGAAUGGAAUUUCAUAAAAUUUCUUUUUUAAUUUUAAAAAUUGAAAUUAAUUUUAUAUGUGAAGAAACAAUAAUAAAAAUUAAGGACAAGAAGACCCUAAGAAUUUUAAAAAUUUCAAUAUAAUAUAAUAUUAUAUUGAAAUUUUUUAAUUGGGGCGAUUAUUAAAUAUUAAAAACUUUAAUUUUUUUUAAAAAAGAACCAAUAUUAUUGGUUAUUUGAGAAAAUACUCUAGGGAUAACAGCGUAAUAAUUUUUGAUAGUUCUUAUAGACAAAAUAGUUUGCGACCUCGAUGUUGGAUUAGGAUUCUUUUUUAAUGAAGAAGUUAAAAAAAGAAGUUUGUUCAACUUUUAAAAUCCUA